RNAcentral lists this ribosomal RNA (377 nucleotides) under uncultured eukaryote. RNAcentral's name for it is "partial 18S ribosomal RNA". It matches the Rfam family "Eukaryotic small subunit ribosomal RNA", at positions 592 to 976 of the family's 1831-position model. The record is from RNAcentral.
CAAUAGCGUAUAUUAAAGUUGUUGCAGUUAAAAAGCUCGUAGUUGGAUUUGUGGUGGCCCCUGCGGUCCAAAAAUGUUUUGGUGCUGUUGGUGGCUGCCAUCUUUGGGUGGAGCCUGUGUGGCAUUAGGUUGUCGCGCAGGGGAUGCCCAUCGUUUACUGUGAAAAAAUUAGAGUGUUCAAAGCAGGCUUACGCCGUUGAAUAUAUUAGCAUGGAAUAAUGAGAUAGGACCUUGGUACUAUUUUGUUGGUUUGCGCACCGAGGUAAUGAUUAAUAGGGACAGUUGGGGCUAUUCGUAUUCCAUUGUCAGAGGUGAAAUUCUUGGAUUUCUGGAAGACGAACUACUGCGAAAGCAUUUAGCAAGGAUGUUUUCAUUAA